This 984-nucleotide ribosomal RNA is filed under the name Escherichia coli. RNAcentral's name for it is "bacterial LSU rRNA". It matches the Rfam family "Bacterial large subunit ribosomal RNA", at positions 711 to 1694 of the family's 2925-position model. The record is from RNAcentral. Lineage: Bacteria; Pseudomonadati; Pseudomonadota; Gammaproteobacteria; Enterobacterales; Enterobacteriaceae.
AGACCCGAAACCCGGUGAUCUAGCCAUGGGCAGGUUGAAGGUUGGGUAACACUAACUGGAGGACCGAACCGACUAAUGUUGAAAAAUUAGCGGAUGACUUGUGGCUGGGGGUGAAAGGCCAAUCAAACCGGGAGAUAGCUGGUUCUCCCCGAAAGCUAUUUAGGUAGCGCCUCGUGAAUUCAUCUCCGGGGGUAGAGCACUGUUUCGGCAAGGGGGUCAUCCCGACUUACCAACCCGAUGCAAACUGCGAAUACCGGAGAAUGUUAUCACGGGAGACACACGGCGGGUGCUAACGUCCGUCGUGAAGAGGGAAACAACCCAGACCGCCAGCUAAGGUCCCAAAGUCAUGGUUAAGUGGGAAACGAUGUGGGAAGGCCCAGACAGCCAGGAUGUUGGCUUAGAAGCAGCCAUCAUUUAAAGAAAGCGUAAUAGCUCACUGGUCGAGUCGGCCUGCGCGGAAGAUGUAACGGGGCUAAACCAUGCACCGAAGCUGCGGCAGCGACGCUGAUGCGUUGUUGGGUAGGGGAGCGUUCUGUAAGCCUGUGAAGGUGUACUGUGAGGUAUGCUGGAGGUAUCAGAAGUGCGAAUGCUGACAUAAGUAACGAUAAAGCGGGUGAAAAGCCCGCUCGCCGGAAGACCAAGGGUUCCUGUCCAACGUUAAUCGGGGCAGGGUGAGUCGACCCCUAAGGCGAGGCCGAAAGGCGUAGUCGAUGGGAAACAGGUUAAUAUUCCUGUACUUGGUGUUACUGCGAAGGGGGGACGGAGAAGGCUAUGUUGGCCGGGCGACGGUUGUCCCGGUUUAAGCGUGUAGGCUGGUUUUCCAGGCAAAUCCGGAAAAUCAAGGCUGAGGCGUGAUGACGAGGCACUACGGUGCUGAAGCAACAAAUGCCCUGCUUCCAGGAAAAGCCUCUAAGCAUCAGGUAACAUCAAAUCGUACCCCAAACCGACACAGGUGGUCAGGUAGAGAAUACCAAGGCGCUUGAG